Molecule: ribosomal RNA, 995 nt
Filed under: Isoptericola sp. BAB-5700
Lineage: Bacteria; Bacillati; Actinomycetota; Actinomycetes; Micrococcales; Promicromonosporaceae
Description: bacterial SSU rRNA
Rfam family: Bacterial small subunit ribosomal RNA
Source: RNAcentral
GGGUAGCCGGCCUGAGAGGGCGACCGGCCACACUGGGACUGAGACACGGCCCAGACUCCUACGGGAGGCAGCAGUGGGGAAUAUUGCACAAUGGGCGAAAGCCUGAUGCAGCGACGCCGCGUGAGGGAUGACGGCCUUCGGGUUGUAAACCUCUUUCAGCAGGGAAGAAGCGCAAGUGACGGUACCUGCAGAAGAAGCGCCGGCUAACUACGUGCCAGCAGCCGCGGUAAUACGUAGGGCGCAAGCGUUGUCCGGAAUUAUUGGGCGUAAAGAGCUCGUAGGCGGUUUGUCGCGUCUGGUGUGAAAACCCGAGGCUCAACCUCGGGCUGGCACUGGGUACGGGCAGACUAGAGUGCGGUAGGGGAGACUGGAAUUCCUGGUGUAGCGGUGGAAUGCGCAGAUAUCAGGAGGAACACCGAUGGCGAAGGCAGGUCUCUGGGCCGCAACUGACGCUGAGGAGCGAAAGCAUGGGGAGCGAACAGGAUUAGAUACCCUGGUAGUCCAUGCCGUAAACGUUGGGCACUAGGUGUGGGGCUCUUUCCACGAGUUCCGUGCCGCAGCUAACGCAUUAAGUGCCCCGCCUGGGGAGUACGGCCGCAAGGCUAAAACUCAAAGGAAUUGACGGGGGCCCGCACAAGCGGCGGAGCAUGCGGAUUAAUUCGAUGCAACGCGAAGAACCUUACCAAGGCUUGACAUGCGCCGGAAACUGCCAGAGAUGGUGGCCCCGUAAGGUCGGUGCACAGGUGGUGCAUGGUUUGUCGUCAGCUCGUGUCGUGAGAUGUUGCGGUUAAGUCCCGCAACGAGCGCAACCCCUCGUCCCAUGUUGCCAGCGGGUUAUGCCGGGGACUCAUGGGAGACUGCCGGGGUCAACUCGGAGGAAGGUGGGGAUGACGUCAAAUUCAUCAUGCCCCUUAUGUCUUGGGCUUCACGCAUGCUACAAUGGCCGGUACAGAGGGCUGCGAUACCGUAAGGUGGAGCGAAUCCCAAAAAGCCGG